Molecule: long non-coding RNA, 316 nt
Organism: Cyanistes caeruleus (blue tit)
Lineage: Eukaryota; Metazoa; Chordata; Aves; Passeriformes; Paridae
Source: RefSeq, a predicted model, not a curated record
GCUUGGAAGAUGUUGAAAUUGGUCUGAACAUCAUGCAGUGAAAAAACUGGAUGAGGACAAAAAGACAUGAAAAUGUGCUGCUACACAAACAGCAGGCUGGGGAAGCUGAGAGACCAGGUGGAACAUGCAUAAGAUGGAACAUGCACAACGGAUAACCUACAAACACCAAACAAGUGACUGGGAAAUGAAAAAACCCACGGAUUAUACAGAGCACUGAUGCUGGCUUCAUUUACACUUCUGGUCUUUACACAAUGGUUGCUGUCCAAUUCAGAAACAAGGAUAAAAAAAUUUGCCAAACACUUUUGAAAUUCUUCCU